This 301-nucleotide ribosomal RNA is filed under the name uncultured bacterium. Its description in RNAcentral is "partial 16S ribosomal RNA". It matches the Rfam family "Bacterial small subunit ribosomal RNA", at positions 509 to 807 of the family's 1533-position model. The record is from RNAcentral.
CAGCCGCCGCGGUAAUACAGAGGGUGCAAGCGUUAAUCGGGAUUACUGGGCGUAAAGCGCGCGUAGGUGGUUUGUUAAGUUGGAUGUGAAAUCCCCGGGCUCAACCUGGGAACUGCAUCCAAAACUGGCAAGCUAGAGUAUGGUAGAGGGUGGUGGAAUUUCCUGUGUAGCGGUGAAAUGCGUAGAUAUAGGAAGGAACACCAGUGGCGAAGGCGACCACCUGGACUGAUACUGACACUGAGGUGCGAAAGCGUGGGGAGCAAACAGGAUUAGAUACCCCAGUAGUCCCUGUCUCUUAUAC